Molecule: ribosomal RNA, 468 nt
Filed under: uncultured bacterium
Lineage: Bacteria
Description: partial 16S ribosomal RNA
Rfam family: Bacterial small subunit ribosomal RNA
Source: RNAcentral
GACGAACGCUGGCGGCGUGCUUAACACAUGCAAGUCGAACGGAAAGGCCCUGCUUUUGUGGGGUGCUCGAGUGGCGAACGGGUGAGUAACACGUGAGUAACCUGCCCUUGACUUUGGGAUAACUUCAGGAAACUGGGGCUAAUACCGGAUAGGAGCUCCCGCUGCAUGGUGGGGGUUGGAAAGUUUCGGCGGUUGGGGAUGGACUCGCGGCUUAUCAGCUUGUUGGUGGGGUAGUGGCUUACCAAGGCUUUGACGGGUAGCCGGCCUGAGAGGGUGACCGGCCACAUUGGGACUGAGAUACGGCCCAGACUCCUACGGGAGGCAGCAGUGGGGAAUAUUGCACAAUGGGCGGAAGCCUGAUGCAGCAACGCCGCGUGCGGGGUGACGGCCUUCGGGUUGUAAACCGCUUUCGCCUGUGACGAAGCGUGAGUGACGGUAAUGGGUAAAGAAGCACCGGCUAACUACGUG